CGGGGAGUGGCGCAGUGGUAGCGCUCCACGUUUGGGACGUGGUGGUCGCGGGUUCGAGUCCCGUCUCCCCGA
RNAcentral lists this transfer RNA (72 nucleotides) under Actinomycetota bacterium. Its description in RNAcentral is "tRNA-Pro". It matches the Rfam family "tRNA". Rfam says of the family: Transfer RNA (tRNA) molecules are approximately 80 nucleotides in length. RNAcentral also lists the same sequence under 1 other name. The record is from RNAcentral. Lineage: Bacteria; Bacillati; Actinomycetota.